CCUACGGGGUGCAGCAGUGAGGAAUAUUGGUCAAUGGCCGCAGGGCUGAACCAGCCAAGUCGCGUGAGGGAUGACGGUCCUAUGGAUUGUAAACCUCUUUUGUCAGGGAGCAAAGGGCGCCACGUGUGGCGCUUUGCGAGUACCUGAAGAAAAAGCAUCGGCUAACUCCGUGCCAGCAGCCGCGGUAAUACGGAGGAUGCGAGCGUUAUCCGGAUUUAUUGGGUUUAAAGGGUGCGCAGGCGGAAUGUCAAGUCAGCGGUAAAAUUUCGGGGCUCAACCCCGUCGUGCCGUGGAAACUGGCGUUCUUGAGUGAGCGAGAAGUAUGCGGAAUGCGUGGUGUAGCGGUGAAAUGCAUAGAUAUCACGCAGAACUCCGAUUGCGAAGGCAGCAUACCGGCGCUCAACUGACGCUCAUGCACGAAAGCGUGGGUAUCGAACAGGAUUAGAUACCCUGGUAGUC
Molecule: ribosomal RNA, 459 nt
Filed under: uncultured bacterium
Lineage: Bacteria
Description: partial 16S ribosomal RNA
Rfam family: Bacterial small subunit ribosomal RNA
Source: RNAcentral